RNAcentral lists this transfer RNA (72 nucleotides) under Friedmanniomyces endolithicus. RNAcentral's name for it is "tRNA-Met". It matches the Rfam family "tRNA". From Rfam's summary of the family: Transfer RNA (tRNA) molecules are approximately 80 nucleotides in length. The record is from RNAcentral. Lineage: Eukaryota; Fungi; Ascomycota; Dothideomycetes; Mycosphaerellales; Teratosphaeriaceae.
GGAUAGCUAGUUUAAUGGUAAAAUCUUGGACUCAUGAUCCGAUGUAUGUGCGUUCGAUUCGCACGUUAUCUU